RNAcentral lists this ribosomal RNA (371 nucleotides) under uncultured bacterium. Its description in RNAcentral is "bacterial SSU rRNA". It matches the Rfam family "Bacterial small subunit ribosomal RNA", at positions 527 to 896 of the family's 1533-position model. The record is from RNAcentral.
GUAGGGAGCAAGCGUUGUUCGGAAUUAUUGGGCGUAAAGAGCGCGUAGGCUGUUUAGUAAGUCCGAUGUGAAAUCCCAGAGCUCAACUCUGGAACUGCAUUGGAAACUGCUAGGCUGGAGUGCGGGAGAGGUGAGUGGAAUUCCCAGUGUAGAGGUGAAAUUCGUAGAUAUUGGGAGGAACACCGGUGGCGAAGGCGGCUCACUGGACCGCAACUGACGCUGAGGCGCGAAAGCUAGGGGAGGAAACGGGAUUAGAUACCCCGGUAGUCCUAGCCGUAAACGAUGGGCACUAGGUGUAGGAGGUAUCGACCCCUCCUGUGCCGCAGCUAACGCAUUAAGUGCCCCGCCUGGGGAGUACGGUCGCAAGACUA